This 222-nucleotide ribosomal RNA is filed under the name uncultured bacterium. RNAcentral's name for it is "partial 16S ribosomal RNA". It matches the Rfam family "Bacterial small subunit ribosomal RNA", at positions 111 to 334 of the family's 1533-position model. The record is from RNAcentral.
UAAUAUAUCGGAACGUACCCUCGAGUGGGGGAUAACGCAGCGAAAGUUGCGCUAAUACCGCAUACGAUCUACGGAGGAAAGCAGGGGAUUCGCAAGGACCUUGUGCUCGUAGAGCGGCCGAUAUCUGAUUAGCUAGUUGGUAGGGUAAAAGCCUACCAAGGCUACGAUCAGUAGCUGGUCUGAGAGGACGACCAGCCACACUGGAACUGAGACACGGUCCAG